CGCGCAGGCGGUUCCUUAAGUCUGAUGUGAAAGCCCACGGCUCAACCGUGGAGGGUCAUUGGAAACUGGGGAACUUGAGGACAGAAGAGGAGAGUGGAAUUCCACGUGUAGCGGUGAAAUGCGUAGAUAUGUGGAGGAACACCAGUGGCGAAGGCGACUCUCUGGUCUGUUUCUGACGCUGAGGUGCGAAAGCGUGGGUAGCAAACA
Molecule: ribosomal RNA, 207 nt
Filed under: uncultured bacterium
Lineage: Bacteria
Description: partial 16S ribosomal RNA
Rfam family: Bacterial small subunit ribosomal RNA
Source: RNAcentral